RNAcentral lists this small nucleolar RNA (82 nucleotides) under Nelumbo nucifera (sacred lotus). RNAcentral's name for it is "Small nucleolar RNA R16". It matches the Rfam family "Small nucleolar RNA R16". Rfam says of the family: snoR16 is a member of the C/D class of snoRNA which contain the C (UGAUGA) and D (CUGA) box motifs. Most of the members of the box C/D family function in directing site-specific 2'-O-methylation of substrate RNAs. Lineage: Eukaryota; Viridiplantae; Streptophyta; Magnoliopsida; Proteales; Nelumbonaceae. The record is from Rfam by way of RNAcentral.
AGCGGCAGAUGAUGUGAAUGAUCUUAUCCUACACACCGAAUUGUUCUGUGGACUAAAACUCCGCUUAUUAUCUGAUGCCACA